AUUGAACGCUGGCGGCAUGCUUUACACAUGCAAGUCGAACGGCAGCGCGGGCUUCGGCCUGGCGGCGAGUGGCGAACGGGUGAGUAAUACAUCGGAACGUGCCCAGUAGUGGGGGAUAGCUCGGCGAAAGCCGGAUUAAUACCGCAUACGACCUGAGGGUGAAAGCGGGGGAUCUUCGGACCUCGCGCUAUUGGAGCGGCCGAUGGCAGAUUAGCUAGUUGGUGGGGUAAAGGCCUACCAAGGCGACGAUCUGUAGCUGGUCUGAGAGGACGACCAGCCACACUGGGACUGAGGCACGGCCCAGACUCCUACGGGAGGCAGCAGUGGGGAAUUUUGGACAAUGGGCGAAAGCCUGAUCCAGCAAUGCCGCGUGUGUGAUGAAGGCCUUCGGGUUGUAAAGCACUUUUGGCGGGAACGAAAAGGACUGUGCAAAUACCACGGUUCGAUGACGGUACCCGAAGAAUAAGCACCGGCUAACUACGUG
RNAcentral lists this ribosomal RNA (484 nucleotides) under uncultured bacterium. Its description in RNAcentral is "partial 16S ribosomal RNA". It matches the Rfam family "Bacterial small subunit ribosomal RNA", at positions 29 to 507 of the family's 1533-position model. The record is from RNAcentral.